This 539-nucleotide ribosomal RNA is filed under the name uncultured bacterium. Its description in RNAcentral is "bacterial SSU rRNA". It matches the Rfam family "Bacterial small subunit ribosomal RNA", at positions 777 to 1315 of the family's 1533-position model. The record is from RNAcentral.
AAUAGAUACCCCGGUAGUCCAUGCCGUAAACGUUGGGCGCUAGAUGUGGGGACCAUUCCACGGUUUCCGUGUCGCAGCUAACGCAUUAAGCGCCCCGCCUGGGGAGUACGGCCGCAAGGCUAAAACUCAAAGGAAUUGACGGGGGCCCGCACAAGCGGCGGAGCAUGCGGAUUAAUUCGAUGCAACGCGAAGAACCUUACCAAGGCUUGACAUAUACGAGAACGCUCUAGAAAUAGAGAACUCUUUGGACACUCGUAUACAGGUGGUACAUGGUUGUCGUCAGCUCGUGUCGUGAGAUGUUGGGUUAAGUCCCGCAACGAGCGCAACCCUCGUUCUAUGUUGCCAGCGGUUCGGCCGGGAACUCAUAGGAGACUGCCGGGGUCAACUCGGAGGAAGGUGGGGAUGACGUCAAAUCAUCAUGCCCCUUAUGUCUUGGGCUUCACGCAUGCUACAAUGGCCGGUACAAAGGGCUGCAAUACCGUAAGGUGGAGCGAAUCCCAAAAAAGCCGGUCUCAGUUCGAUUGAGGUCUGCAACUCGA